GGGGUUGUGGCUUAGAGGUAGAGCGCUCACCUAGCAAGUGUGAGGUGCUGGGUUUGAUCUUCAACACCA
RNAcentral lists this transfer RNA (69 nucleotides) under Ictidomys tridecemlineatus (thirteen-lined ground squirrel). RNAcentral's name for it is "Spermophilus tridecemlineatus (thirteen-lined ground squirrel) tRNA". It matches the Rfam family "tRNA". Rfam says of the family: Transfer RNA (tRNA) molecules are approximately 80 nucleotides in length. Their secondary structure includes four short double-helical elements and three loops (D, anti-codon, and T loops). Further hydrogen bonds mediate the characteristic L-shaped molecular structure. tRNAs have two regions of fundamental functional importance: the anti-codon, which is responsible for specific mRNA codon recognition, and the 3' end, to which the tRNAs corresponding amino acid is attached (by aminoacyl-tRNA synthetases). tRNAs cope with the degeneracy of the genetic code in two manners: having more than one tRNA (with a specific anti-codon) for a particular amino acid; and 'wobble' base-pairing, i.e. permitting non-standard base-pairing at the 3rd anti-codon position. Lineage: Eukaryota; Metazoa; Chordata; Mammalia; Rodentia; Sciuridae. The record is from Rfam by way of RNAcentral.